GACGAACGCUGGCGGCGUGCCUAAUACAUGCAUGUAGAACGCUGAAGGAGGAGCUUGCUUCUCUGGAUGAGUUGCGAACGGGUGAGUAACGCGUAGGUAACCUGCCUGGUAGCGGGGGAUAACUAUUGGAAACGAUAGCUAAUACCGCAUAAGAGUAGAUGUCGCAUGACAUUUGCUUAAAAGGUGCAAUUGCAUCACUACCAGAUGGACCUGCGUUGUAUUAGCUAGUUGGUGAGGUAACGGCUCACCAAGGCAACGAUACAUAGCCGACCUGAGAGGGUGAUCGGCCACACUGGGACUGAGACACGGCCCAGACUCCUACGGGAGGCAGCAGUAGGGAAUCUUCGGCAAUGGACGGAAGUCUGACCGAGCAACGCCGCGUGAGUGAAGAAGGGUUUCGGAUCGUAAAGCUCUGUUGUAAGAGAAGAACGAGUGUGAGAGUGGAAAGUUCACACUGUGACGGUAUCUUACCAGAAAGGGACGGCUAACUACGUG
This 495-nucleotide ribosomal RNA is filed under the name uncultured bacterium. Its description in RNAcentral is "partial 16S ribosomal RNA". It matches the Rfam family "Bacterial small subunit ribosomal RNA", at positions 28 to 507 of the family's 1533-position model. The record is from RNAcentral.